GUGUUCGCUAUGGCAACACAUACAUUAAAACUGAAACAGUACAGAGGAGAUUAGCAUGGCCCCUGCACAAGGAUGAUACUCAAAUUCAUGAAGCAUUCCAUGCUUUU
Small nuclear RNA from Mesocricetus auratus (golden hamster), 107 nucleotides. The record is from Ensembl. Lineage: Eukaryota; Metazoa; Chordata; Mammalia; Rodentia; Cricetidae.